Molecule: transfer RNA, 62 nt
Filed under: Boccardiella hamata
Lineage: Eukaryota; Metazoa; Annelida; Polychaeta; Spionida; Spionidae
Description: tRNA-Arg
Source: RNAcentral
AAGCAGGAAUGCAAAGCAAAAUGAUUUCGGCUCAUUCCGUGAGUAAUAUUACUCCCUGCUUU